UACAGAGGUCCCGAGCGUUGUUCGGAUUCACUGGGCGUAAAGCGAGUGUAGGCGGUUUGGUAAGUCGGAUGUGAAAGCCCUGGGCUCAACCCAGGAAGUGCAUUCGAUACUGUCAAGCUAGAGUAUCGGAGAGGUUGGUGGAAUUCUCGGUGUAGAGGUGAAAUGCGUAGAUAUGCGGAGGAACACCGAUGGCGAAGGCAAUCCCCUGGGCCUGCACUGACGCUCAUGCACGAAAGCGUGGGGAGCAAACAGG
This 253-nucleotide ribosomal RNA is filed under the name uncultured bacterium. RNAcentral describes it as "partial 16S ribosomal RNA". It matches the Rfam family "Bacterial small subunit ribosomal RNA", at positions 524 to 776 of the family's 1533-position model. The record is from RNAcentral.